This 468-nucleotide ribosomal RNA is filed under the name uncultured bacterium. RNAcentral's name for it is "partial 16S ribosomal RNA". It matches the Rfam family "Bacterial small subunit ribosomal RNA", at positions 28 to 507 of the family's 1533-position model. The record is from RNAcentral.
GAUGAACGCUGGCGGCGUGCUUAACACAUGCAAGUCGAACGGUGAAGGCGGAGCUUGCUCUGCUGGAUCAGUGGCGAACGGGUGAGUAACACGUGAGCAAUCUGCCCCUGACUCUGGGAUAAGCGCUGGAAACGGCGUCUAAUACUGGAUACGAGCUGCGAAGGCAUCUUCAGCAGCUGGAAAGAACUUCGGUCAGGGAUGAGCUCGCGGCCUAUCAGCUUGUUGGUGGGGUAAUGGCUCACCAAGGCGUCGACGGGUAGCCGGCCUGAGAGAGUGACCGGCCACACUGGGACUGAGACACGGCCCAGACUCCUACGGGAGGCAGCAGUGGGGAAUAUUGCACAAUGGGCGAAAGCCUGAUGCAGCAACGCCGCGUGAGGGACGACGGCCUUCGGGUUGUAAACCGCUUUUGGCAGGGAAGAAGCGAAAGUGACGGUACCUGCAGAAAAAGCACCGGCUAACUACGUG